Molecule: long non-coding RNA, 1618 nt
Filed under: Musa acuminata (dwarf banana)
Lineage: Eukaryota; Viridiplantae; Streptophyta; Magnoliopsida; Zingiberales; Musaceae
Description: long non-coding RNA (MACU_LNC002761)
Source: RNAcentral
AAAAGUUCUGCAGUAACUGCAGGUUAGACAAGCAAGCAACUAAAUUAGAUUUUCUGUUUCACUUUGAAGGUAGAAUGUUUCAUACUUUGUAAAACUUGCCUGGUUGGUGUUACACACUGAUCUCAUUCUUUUGAGAACUCAAAGAGAAACUACAUGAGAUUUUUUUGGGUAGUUAUAGAUAUAAUAGUUAUAAAAAAUUUGGUAGCUUAUUUGUGAGCGUUAUGGCAUAUAAAUUUAACCACUUCUUGAAUACCAUGAAUUUUUUUUACAAUCACAUCAGAUUUAGAAAGGAUUGACACAUCUGCGAUGGUGACACACCAAAACAGAAUUCAAGUUUCUGUCCAGUGGACCCAUAAGGAUGCAGAUGCACUAUGUAGAUUCAGCCAUUUGAUUUCAAAUUGUAAACACACUAGCCAUCUUAUCAUUUAUAAAGUUGCAUCCAAACAGUUGCUGGAUCCUAAAAUUCUUAAUGCUGAAGGAUGUUUAGUUUAAUUCAGAUAUCAAAAUUAAACAGAAAGGCAAUUAAUAGUCAUAGCUUUCUUUUUUGGUUAUUUGUUCCUUUCCAUGUAAAAUUAUGCCAUUUGAAAUUUGCUUAGUUUCUCUCAACUGCAGUUUCCUGAUGUUCAAAUAAUACCGCACUUACUUAAGACUCAUGAAGAUUUCACUCGAAUCCAAUUUGAUAUGAACAGGACUAUUUCCUUUGUCACUAAAUUUUUUAAAUCUCACAAAAAGGUGAUUUCUUUUUCUGUAUAGGAUAUGUCACUGUCUACAGUUGAACUCCCUUUUAUAGCAUAUUGCAUUAAAUUUUAGAGUUCUGAGUUCUUGCCUCUGUGUCAUUACUAUUGAUUGCAAAGUUUCAGUUAGUUUUUGACGGCCAUCAGUAUUUAUCGGGAUAAUUAGCUUUAAAAUGCUUUAUUUGACAUCAUCUUUCUUUACCAGAGUUUCUGAACCUUGGUCCUUUCCUGGUUUAAGCUGUUUAUAGGGAAUCAUGUCGGUUUGGUUUUCACUAAAUUGACCACCGAUUUAUUCAAGAAAAUUCAUGUAGGAAACUGCAUGGCCAUCUUAUUUCUUCACAUUGCACCAUCCAAGACCAUAUGCUGGUGAACCAGAAUGUAUAUAUGAAUCACAUGCAAUGCUGCCAUCACCAGAUAAGUUCUUCUCAAUAUAUUACCUGAAGACUUCAAUGUACACUAUCUGUUGUUUCCUAAUGAUCAAACAAGAAACAAUAUGGAUGACACAGGUCUCUACAUAUUAUAAAACAUGGUUUCUUCAUAUACAUGGCUUCAUGUAUUAUAUUUGUUCCCGAGUUUAAGCAUAUUACAGUCAGUUUCUUUCUUUUCCAUGGUUCUGCAGAUUGCUGCUGUGUAUAUGACAAAACCAAAAAGAUGGAUUUGCUAAUUUUUACGUCCAACCAUUACUCAUGAUUGUGUGAAGAUGGCAACACAAUUCUUUGUUGUGAUGAUUGCUUUCUUUCUUUCGAUUGAUCUUUAGAACAAAAUAAAUAAAAACAAGCAGACAGAUCUUACUUGGCACAUCAAACGUGUCUUGGUGAAACAUUCCUGCGGUUUUCCUUCCUUGAGCCACUUCCUGAUGUCUCCUGCCUUGUCCAAUGUCACAG